AUUGAACGCUGGCGGCAGGCCUAACACAUGCAAGUCGAGCGGUAGAGCGAAGCUUGCUUCUCUUGAGAGCGGCGGACGGGUGAGUAUUGCCUAGGAAUCUGCCUGGUAGUGGGGGAUAACGUCCGGAAACGGACGCUAAUACCGCAUACGUCCUACGGGAGAAAGCAGGGGACCUUCGGGCCUUGCGCUAUCAGAUGAGCCUAGGUCGGAUUAGCUAGUUGGUGGGGUAAUGGCUCACCAAGGCGACGAUCCGUAACUGGUCUGAGAGGAUGAUCAGUCACACUGGAACUGAGACACGGUCCAGACUCCUACGGGAGGCAGCAGUGGGGAAUAUUGGACAAUGGGCGAAAGCCUGAUCCAGCCAUGCCGCGUGUGUGAAGAAGGUCUUCGGAUUGUAAAGCACUUUAAGUUGGGAGGAAGGGCAGUAAAUUAAUACUUUGCUGUUUUGACGUUACCGACAGAAUAAGCACCGGCUAACUCUGUG
RNAcentral lists this ribosomal RNA (484 nucleotides) under uncultured bacterium. RNAcentral describes it as "partial 16S ribosomal RNA". It matches the Rfam family "Bacterial small subunit ribosomal RNA", at positions 30 to 507 of the family's 1533-position model. The record is from RNAcentral.